AGUGAACGCUGGCGGUAGGCCUAACACAUGCAAGUCGAACGGCAGCACAGUAAGAGCUUGCUCUUACGGGUGGCGAGUGGCGGACGGGUGAGGAAUACAUCGGAAUCUACUUUUUCGUGGGGGAUAACGUAGGGAAACUUACGCUAAUACCGCAUACGACCUACGGGUGAAAGCAGGGGAUCUUCGGACCUUGCGCGAUUGAAUGAGCCGAUGUCGGAUUAGCUAGUUGGCGGGGUAAAGGCCCACCAAGGCGACGAUCCGUAGCUGGUCUGAGAGGAUGAUCAGCCACACUGGAACUGAGACACGGUCCAGACUCCUACGGGAGGCAGCAGUGGGGAAUAUUGGACAAUGGGCGCAAGCCUGGUCCAGCCAUACCGCGUGGGUGAAGAAGGCCUUCGGGUUGUAAAGCCCUUUUGUUGGGAAAGAAAAGCAGCAGGUUAAUACCCCGCUGUUCUGACGGUACCCAAAGAAUAAGCACCGGCUAACUUCGU
RNAcentral lists this ribosomal RNA (491 nucleotides) under uncultured bacterium. Its description in RNAcentral is "partial 16S ribosomal RNA". It matches the Rfam family "Bacterial small subunit ribosomal RNA", at positions 29 to 506 of the family's 1533-position model. The record is from RNAcentral.